RNAcentral lists this unclassified non-coding RNA (277 nucleotides) under Hevea brasiliensis (rubber tree). The record is from RNAcentral. Lineage: Eukaryota; Viridiplantae; Streptophyta; Magnoliopsida; Malpighiales; Euphorbiaceae.
AAAUCAGGGGCAUGUGGUUCCAGCCACCCGAUCGACCAGUCAGAGUCAUCGGAUUCGGAACCUGAUAAACAAACACCAUCAGAUGGCACCAAUACCACAUCAUAUUUCUCAUCAACCCUCUUCCUCUCCUCUCUACUCUUCCAUUUCCUCUUCACUUUCCUAGUAGUUGAAGCUAGAUUAGCCCCCCUCACUGACUUAAACUUCAAACUAUCACUUUGUUCCUUCAAUCCAAAUCCAAAAUCUUGCAAGGGAUUCAUUGAAGAUCCAUUAGACACUG